Linepithema humile (Argentine ant) is the source of this 281-nucleotide non-coding RNA. Lineage: Eukaryota; Metazoa; Arthropoda; Insecta; Hymenoptera; Formicidae. The record is from RefSeq and is a predicted model, not a curated record.
CAGACUUUUACAUAACGCAUAAGGCAUAAUGCAUAGAGCAUAACGUAACGUUCUUCAACGCACAAGCUUGUGCAUAAGGCUUUACAUUCUAACCUUAAAAUUAUUUGAACACCGAAAUCACAUGAGGAAAUAAAUAGGAACACACAAUAUUGAAAAGAAAAUCAAGAGAACUUUUUUUGUGAUUAUAAAAGUGAGAAUAAAUGGUCUGAUCUAUCAAAAAAAAGAAGGGACAAUAAAAAUAAGAAGAGAAAUUGAAGAGUAUUUAUUCUCUAGUAAAGAUG